GCCUCCCGCCCUCGCGCCCCUCGGGAGGCUGUAGUCCUGCCCCCGGCGCGGCCAGCCCGCGCUCCCGCACACCCCGCCCGCUCGCCCGCGCGUGUGUACGUGCGCCGGAGGCCUGGAGAGACCGGAGUUUAACGCCCAGUCUUUCUUUCAGGGUCCCCCUCCUGGAUGUGGCAGGCCUCCCAGAUUCCCCUGGAAGUUCUGACUUGCCCAUACACACAAGGACCUCAGGAAACCCAAUAGUGACUUUCCUCAGAUCUGUGAAUUCCUUCUUCUGGAAAAUAACCUUCUCAACAAUUGUCUCACAUGGAGUUCCAUCAGUGAGUCCCACCGGGUCUACCUAGAAGCUGUAUCCAGAAUCUGGUCACUGCACAACAUCUCCUCUGCUUCCUCCCUGCUUUGAGGCACCAUUGAAUCUCUCUUGGUUGAAGGCAGUAACCUUCUAACUGGUCUCCGCUUGCAUCCCUUCCCACCUAUGUCUGUUCUCAACAUAGCUGCCAGCGUGAUCACGGCCCUUCUCUACUUAAAAUCCUCCAAAACACUCCAUGUUGCAUAAAGGGCAAGAUGUCUUUAAAAUGCGAAAGAGGCACUUCUGGAGCACUCUCUGCCACAUCUGACCUCAAUUUGUGCCCCUUUCCGUCUUAUUUACUCUGUUCCAGCCACACUGCCCUCCUGGAUUCUGUAAACAUUCCAAGCAUGCUGCCACCUCCAGGCAUUUGCACUGGCUGAUCCCUCUGCUUUGAAUGCUCUUGCUUUACUCCAAUGGCAUCCUCUCAGUGAGGGCUACUCUAUCCACUUUAUAGAAAACCAUGUACCUUCCCUGUACUCUGCUUCCUCCUUACACUGAUUUACUUGCCUUUCAGAGCAUGUGUCUCCUUCUAACAUACUGUACAAUUUAUCUAUGUUUGAUGUCUGUCUCCUAGAAAAAUUUGAGUUCCAUAAGGUCAUAGAUUUUUCUUCUUCUGUUCACACUGCUAUAUCCUCAACGUCUAGAACAAACUCUGAUAUAUAGUAUAUAUCAGAAUAUAUAUAAAUUCUGAUAUAUAGGUAUCCAGUAAUUAUGUGCUGAGUUACUGGGUGAUUGAGUCCAUUAGCAUGAUUCUGUUUGAAAACUGGGUAUACUGGAAGAACCCAGUCAACAACCUCGAACUGAACUGAAUUAGCGUCAGGUUUCCCUGUGGAUGGAAAUGAUCUGCUCUUCCAAGCUGUUUCCUAUGUGUCAUAAUGAGAAAGACUAAUUCCUCUUCCUAACACACACCCACUUCACAGAGGAAUGCUUUGAGACGUAAUUAAAUGGUAACGUGGAGAAAGCAUUUUGAUUUUCUAAGAGAAGCACUUUAUUAAUUUGAGGUUUUAUUGUGCGAAAGAAUUAUAAGUGACACAGGGGCAAGUACAGAGAUGAGAACAAUGUUAAAGGGAUUAUAGUGUUCACAAUACUACAUUGGAAUUGUAUGAGAUAAUUGAGUUAAGAUUGAUAUAAGCAGCAUGGAAUAAAGCAAAAUAGUUUGGGAAAUCUUACCCCAAAUGACAAGUUUUAAAGAAAUAGCUUCUUUUUUGUAAUCAACUCUCAAUUAUUUACAGCACAAUAUCCUCAUUAAUGAAUUAUUCUUCGCUUUUACUAUCCUUUUGUCCAGUUCGUGGCCAUUUUUCUUCUAAUUAGAAAUUCCAUACUAAUGUCAGAGAGUUGAUAAAGAAAAAAGAAGUAAAAAUUAAGAUUUGUCUUCUUCAUGAGUUUAUUCCUCGCUCAUUCCAGUUGACAUGUUUAAAUUCUGAUCUGGAGUAUUUCCAAAAUUACCCAAUUUUAAAAUGUCAUAUUCUUUUUAAUUAACUGGCAAAUUAAUUGAGCACAUUUUCUUUCUUUCUUUCUUUCUUUCUUUCUUUCUUUCUUUCUUUCUUUCUUUCUUUCUUUCUUUCUUUCUUAUUUUUUUUUUUUGAGACAGAGUUUCACUCUUGUUGCCCAGGCUGGAGUGCAAUGGCAUGAUCUUGGCUCAACGCAACCUCUGCCUCCCAGGUUCAAGCAAUUCUCCUGCUUCAGCCUCCUGAGUAGCUGGGAUUACAGGCAUGCGCCACCACGCUGGCUACUUCCGUAUUUUUAGUAGAGAUGGGGGUUUCUCCAUGUUGGUCAGGCUGGCCUCGAACUCCCAACCUCAGGUGAUCCGCCCACCUUGGCCUCCCAAAGUGCUGGGAUUAC
Long non-coding RNA from Homo sapiens (human), 2188 nucleotides. The record is from Ensembl. NCBI's taxonomy places the organism in Eukaryota, Metazoa, Chordata, Mammalia, Primates, Hominidae.